This is a non-coding RNA of Winogradskyella sp. J14-2, 398 nucleotides long. It matches the Rfam family "transfer-messenger RNA". From Rfam's summary of the family: Bacterial tmRNA, also known as 10Sa RNA or SsrA, is named for its dual tRNA and mRNA-like properties. The record is from Rfam. Lineage: Bacteria; Pseudomonadati; Bacteroidota; Flavobacteriia; Flavobacteriales; Flavobacteriaceae.
GGGGUCGACUGGUUUUGACAGCGAGAUUAAUUAAAUGGUAAGCACGUCGUGUAAUGGUUUUGAUACACGUAAAAGGCUAGACCAAAUUUUAAACGGCGAGAAUAACUACGCUUUAGCUGCUUAAUCUGAAUUAUAGUAAGAUUUUAAGCUACAUUCCUACAAGGUAGGAAGGCUAAAUGUCUCCAGAAAGCCUUGGUUAAUGGCGUUCUUUUUAGAGGCAUCGUAAAAAUUGACCAAGAUUGGGUAGUGCUUUGAUGCCCUUUUGAGAUUAAAAAGCUAAGUGUAAAGUAGGCUGUCUUUAGCCAGCUUUGCAUCGAAAAAAUAAGAAAAGACUAAACGUGUAGAAAGCCCUUUGGUUACUUGUUUGGACGAGAGUUCGAUUCUCUCCGACUCCACAU